UUAGAUUAGAUACCUCCAGGGUAGGUGACAACCAGCAGGACCAGCUCCUCCAGUGUGUUGUGUAUGGUUAGGUUAGGGUUAGAUUAGAUUAGAUACCUCCAGGGUAGGUCACAGCCAGCAGGACCAGCUCCUCCAGUGUGUUGUGUAUGGUUAGGGUUAGAUUAGAUUAGAUACCUCCAGGGUAGGUCACAGCCAGCAGGACCAGCUCCUCCAGUGUGUUGUGUAUGGUUAGGUUAGGGUUAGAUUAGAUACCUCCAGGGUAGGUGACAACCAGCAGGACCAGCUCCUCCAGUGUGUUGUGUAUGGUUAGGUUAGGGUUAGAUUAGAUACCUCCAGGGUAGGUGACAGCCAGCAGGACCAGCUCCUCCAGUGUGUUGUGUAUGGUUAGGGUUAGAUUAGAUUAGAUACCUCCAGGGUAGGUGACAGCCAGCAGGACCAGCUCCUCCAGUGUGUUGUGUGUGGUUAGGUUAGGGUUAGAUUAGAUUAGAUACCUCCAGGGUAGGUGACAACCAGCAGGACCAGCUCCUCCAGUGUGUUGUGUAUGGUUAGGUUAGGGUUAGAUUAGAUACCUCCAGGGUAGGUGACAGCCAGCAGGACCAGCUCCUCCAGUGUGUUGUGUAUGGUUAGGUUAGGGUUAGAUUAGAUUUGAUACCUCCAGGGUAGGUGACAACCAGCAGGACCAGCUCCUCCAGUGUGUUGUGUAUAGUUAGGUUAGGGUUAGAUUAGAUACCUCCAGGGUAGGUGACAGCCAGCAGGACCAGCUCCUCCAGUGUGUUGUGUAUGGUUAGGUUAGGGUUAGAUUAGAUACCUCCAGGGUAGGUGACAGCCAGCAGGACCAGCUCCUCCAGUGUGUUGUGUAUGGUUAGGUUAGGGUUAGAUUAGAUACCUCCAUGGUAGGUGACAGCCAGCAGGACCAGCUCCCCCAGUGUGUUGUGUAUGGUUAGGUUAGGGUUAGAUUAGAUACCUCCAUGGUAGGUGACAGCCAGCAGGACCAGCUCCCCCAGUGUGUUGUGUAUGGUUAGGUUAGGGUUAGAUUAGAUACCUCCAUGGUAGGUGACAGCCAGCAGGACCAGCUCCCCCAGUGUGUUGUGUAUGGUUAGGUUAGGGUUAGAUUAGAUACCUCCACGGUAGGUGACAGCCAGCAGGACCAGCUCCCCCAGUGUGUUGUGUAUGGUUAGGUUAGGGUUAGAUUAGAUACCUCCUAGGUAGGUGACAACCAGCAGGACCAGCUCCUCCAGUGUGUUGUGUAUGGUUAGGUUAGGGUUAGAUUAGAUUAGAUACCUCCAGGGUAGGUGACAACCAGCAGGACCAGCUCCUCCAGUGUGUUGUGUAUGGUAAGGUUAGGGUUAGAUUAGAUACCUCCAGGGUAGGUGACAACCAGCAGGACCAGCUCCUCCAGUGUGUUGUGUAUGGUUAGGUUAGGGUUAGAUUAGAUACCUCCAUGGUAGGUGACAGCCAGCAGGACCAGCUCCCCCAGUGUGUUGUGUAUGGUUAGGUUAGGGUUAGAUUAGAUACCUCCACGGUAGGUGACAGCCAGCAGGACCAGCUCCUCCAGUGUGUUGUGUAUGGUUAGGUUAGGGUUAGAUUAGAUACCUCCACGGUAGGUCACAGCCAGCAGGACCAGCUCCUCCAGUGUGUUGUGUAUGGUUAGGUUAGGGUUAGAUUAGAUACCUCCAGGGUAGGUCACAGCCAGCAGGACCAGCUCCUCCAGUGUGUUGUGUAUGGUUAGGUUAGGGUUAGAUUAGAUACCUCCUAGGUAGGUGACAGCCAGCAGGACCAGCUCCUCCAGUGUGUUGUGUAUGGUUAGGGUUAGAUUAGAUUAGAUACCUCCAGGGUAGGUCACAGCCAGCAGGACCAGCUCCUCCAGUGUGUUGUGUAUGGUUAGGUUAGGGUUAGAUUAGAUUAGAUACCUCCAGGGUAGGUGACAGCCAGCAGGACCAGCUCCUCCAGUGUGUUGUGUAUGGUUAGGUUAGGGUUAGAUUAGAUACCUCCACGGUAGGUGACAACCAGCAGGACCAGCUCCCCCAGUGUGUUGUGUAUGGUUAGGUUAGGGUUAGAUUAGAUACCUCCACGGUAGGUGACAACCAGCAGGACCAGCUCCUCCAGUGUGUUGUGUAUGGUUAGGGUUAGAUUAGAUUAGAUACCUCCAGGGUAGGUCACAGUCAGCAGAGCCAGCUCCUCCAGUGUGUUGUGUAUGGUUAGGUUAGGGUUAGAUUAGAUACCUCCAGGGUAGGUCACAGUCAGCAGGACCAGCUCCUCCAGUGUGUUGUGUUGUAUUAGGUGUGGUUAGGUUAGGGUUAGAUUAGAUACCUCCAGGGUAGGUGACAGCCAGCAGGACCAGCUCCUCCAGUGUGUUGUGUAUGGUUAGGUUAGGGUUAGAUUAGAUACCUCCACGGUAGGUGACAGCCAGCAGGACCAGCUCCUCCAGUGUGUUGUGUAUAGUUAGGUUAGGGUUAGAUUAGAUACCUCCAGGGUAGGUGACAGCCAGCAGGACCAGCUCCUCCAGUGUGUUGUGUAUAGUUAGGUUAGGGUUAGAUUAGAUACCUCCACAGUAGGUGACAGCCAGCAGGACCAGCUCCUCCAGUGUGUUGUGUAUGGUUAGGUUAGGGUUAGAUUAGUUACCUCCACGGUAGGUGACAGCCAGCAGGACCAGCUCCUCCAGUGUGUUGUGUAUAGUUAGGUUAGGGUUAGAUUAGAUACCUCCAGGGUAGGUGACAGCCAGCAGGACCAGCUCCUCCAGUGUGUUGUGUAUGGUUAGGUUAGGGUUAGAUUAGAUACCUCCAGGGUAGGUGACAGCCAGCAGGACCAGCUCCUCCAGUGUGUUGUGUAUAGUUAGGUUAGGGUUAGAUUAGAUACCUCCACGGUAGGUGACAGCCAGCAGGACCAGCUCCUCCAGUGUGUUGUGUAUAGUUAGGUUAGGGUUAGAUUAGAUACCUCCACGGUAGGUGACAGCCAGCAGGACCAGCUCCUCCAGUGUGUUGUGUAUGGUUAGGGUUAGAUUAGAUUAGAUACCUCCACGGUAGGUCACAGCCAGCAGGACCAGCUCCUCCAGUGUGUUGUGUAUAGUUAGGUUAGGGUUAGAUUAGAUACCUCCAGGGUAGGUGACAGUCAGCAGGACCAGCUCCUCCAGUGUGUUGUGUAUGGUUAGGUUAGGGUUAGAUUAGAUACCUCCAGGGUAGGUGACAGCCAGCAGGACCAGCUCCUCCAGUGUGUUGUGUAUGGUUAGGUUAGGGUUAGAUUAGAUACCUCCACGGUAGGUCACAGCCAGCAGGACCAGCUCCUCCAGUGUGUUGUGUAUGGUUAGGUUAGGGUUAGAUUAGAUACCUCCACGGUAGGUCACAGCCAGCAGGACCAGCUCCUCCAGUGUGUUGUGUAUGGUUAGGUUAGGGUUAGAUUAGAUACCUCCACGGUAGGUCACAGCCAGCAGGACCAGCUCCUCCAGUGUGUUGUGUUGUAUUAGGUAUGGUAAGGUUAGGGUUAGAU
Oncorhynchus keta (chum salmon) is the source of this 3483-nucleotide long non-coding RNA. RefSeq lists it as uncharacterized. The record is from RefSeq and is a predicted model, not a curated record. Lineage: Eukaryota; Metazoa; Chordata; Actinopteri; Salmoniformes; Salmonidae. The transcript is spliced from 14 exons.